Lathyrus oleraceus (garden pea) is the source of this 2039-nucleotide long non-coding RNA. RefSeq lists it as uncharacterized. The transcript is spliced from 4 exons. The record is from RefSeq and is a predicted model, not a curated record. NCBI's taxonomy places the organism in Eukaryota, Viridiplantae, Streptophyta, Magnoliopsida, Fabales, Fabaceae.
AUAUUAAUAAUAAUAAAAAAAAAAACACAAUAGCAAUAUUUCUGUACCAGAGAAACCAGAAACUCAUUCAUCGUCCUCACGCAAAACGGCUCUCACUCUCGACAUCCUUUAAACUCUCAAUCUCUCGUUAACUCUCAAUCGGCUUCCACUAACCUCACGAUACACCACUCCCAAUCUCACUCUAAACGCGAAAACCAAUGGUUUCGAAAGAAGAUCCAGUAAGAAAACUCACCUUUGGCGAUGAUUUGGCGGCGGUGGUGAGCUUGUAUCUUCUUCUCCUCGCUAGGUUCUUUCACGCCGUCACCAAAAUCAGGGUUUCAGAUUGGCCUCUGGAGAUCAAAAAAGGGGUCUCUGCGAAAUCCUUUCGGUAUGCUCAGUUUGGAUUGCCCUACUUGAUGUUAAAUCGGAAACGGUAAUAUGAAUUUAGCUUUCUUCCUCUAAUUUUGUCUUAAUUCUCUUUUGGGUUAUUUUUUUAACUUUACAGCCUUUGCUAAUUACUUGGUUUUACUGUAGUAAAAAUUUGUGAAAAGAAACACUUCGGUUAUUUGCAAAGCUCAACUAUUGCUACUGCCAUGAACUUCUAGGUGUGAAGAAGUGCUAGCUAUCAAGAAUGAAAAUCAGUUCCAUUAUAAGCUAAUGUUAAUCUUAAGUCUCAUUAUAUUGUCUUACUUAACUGUUAGUGCAGAAUUUCUUAUUAAUUGGAAAUUUUGUUCAACUAUGAGGAAUUAUUCUUACUGUUAUGCUUAUUAAUCUCUGCAAGUUAGUAGGUGUUGCCGGUUGAAUGUGUUGUUGCUAAUGUGUUUGCUGUUGGCUUCGAGAAACGGCGGCUGCGUUUGAAAUUAUGUCGCUUAAAUACAGGUUUUGUGGGUUAGUUAGAGGUGUUAGAAAUAUGGUGGAGAAUUCCAUUAAAAAAAGAGGGGUUCUGUUUUUUGAACUGAGCUUCUAAAAGAUUCUAAUGUUAUAUUAACAGUUAGUAAAUAAAUUGCUGUUAUUCGUGAUCGUUAUUAUCAUACUGAAAGAGAUUAAUCUUCUGUUAUCAUGUUGAUUUUCCUGAUUGCAUUGUAAUGUUUACAAGGAGUUUGUUGUGAAACUGAUAUGAGCCAUUGCCACCAGGUUGUUCUGCUAUGAACCUUGUAGGGAAUGUUGGCUUUAAUGUUACAGUAACAAGUCUACAUCCAAUCACGGUUGACACGGAUAAGAUAUACUCUGCGGUAAGCGGCACGAAUUGGUGCGAGCUCCAAAACCUGGUGCUACAAGGCUUCACUUGGUCUAUGCUUCUGUUUCGGCACGAUGAUGCAACAUGUUCGGUUACAUCAUAAUGCUUGUUCAGGAUCUUUCCAUCAAGAUCAAGAGAGAACAAACCCGAAUGACAAAUCUUGAAUCUCUUCAUUGGCAACGGUAACCGUGUUGUCGGGACAGAAGUUGUUAUUUGGACUUGAUAAUGAUGUGAUGAGGUCCUUGGAAGAUGCAGGUCCUCGGGACAGAAUCUCUUCAUUCGCGCUGUUGUGUUUGUAAGAUGCAGGUCUUGGAAGUACUGCAUUUGAGGUUAUGGCUGGGACAAGGUUUUAGCUAAAGUUCUGAUGAAGGUGAUAUUCCUACUGAUGGAACUAGUGUUAGCAAUGACUUAUACGCUUUUUUGCAGGCAUUUUUAAGGAACACCCUCAAUUGGUUAAGAAUGACUUUUAUAUUACCAGAGAAUCAAAUGUUGGACACUAUAUUCCAGCUCUCGCAUCCCGGGUUCACACAGGAGACAAAAACAAAGAAGGAAUUAUUAUAAACUUCAAGGUCUUACAAUAUCCUAAUGUUGCAUUUGACAGUGAUUUUUUCCCAAAUGAAAGAUCUUAAUGCAACCUUUAAUAUAUGUCGUAUUUUUGUAUGUUUUGGUUCUUUUGAUUUCAUUAAAAUUACAGGGUUUUGCCAUUGGUUUAUGGAGUAUUUGGAAUUGGUUGAAGUGAUUGUAAAGAAUAAGAAUGGUUGUAACUUUGGAAUUGGAAAUUGUAUAUUUGGUUAUAAAAAAUGGAUAUGGAUUUUAGAAAUAA